CGAAUGCUGACGUGAGUAACGACAAAACGGGUGAAAAACCCGUUCGCCGAAAGACCAAGGGUUCCAGUCCAACGUUAAUCGGGGCUGGGUGAGUCGACCCCUAAGGCGAGGCCGAAAGGCGUAGUCGAUGGGAAAAUGGUUAAUAUUCCAUUACUUCUGUGUAAUGCGAUGAGAGGACGGAGAAGGCUAAAUCAGCCUGGCGUUGGUUGUCCAGGUGAAAGGAUGUAGGCAUGUAUCUUAGGCAAAUCCGGGGUACUCUAUGCUGAGAUCUGAUAGCAAGCUGUACUUGUACAGCGAAGUGGUUGAUGCCAUGCUUCCAGGAAAAGUCUCUAAGCUUCAGUUACACAGGAAUCGUACCCGAAACCGACACAGGUGGUCAGGUCGAGUAGACCAAGGCGCUUGAGAGAACUCUGCUGAAGGAACUAGGCAAAAUGGUACCGUAACUUCGGGAGAAGGUACGCUGUUGUUGGUGAUGGAACUCGCUUCCUGAGCUGACGACAGCCGCAGAAACCAGGCCGCUGCAACUGUUUAUUAAAAACAUAGCACUCUGCAAACACGAAAGUGGACGUAUAGGGUGUGAUGCCUGCCCGGUGCUGGAAGGUUAAUUGAUG
Molecule: ribosomal RNA, 611 nt
Filed under: Acinetobacter baumannii
Lineage: Bacteria; Pseudomonadati; Pseudomonadota; Gammaproteobacteria; Moraxellales; Moraxellaceae
Description: partial 23S ribosomal RNA
Rfam family: Bacterial large subunit ribosomal RNA
Source: RNAcentral